GAACCGAUGAAUAGUAACUAGGGAGCCUGGAUCCAGCCGUGGUGCGCAAGCCCCCCGCUCAAGCGACGGGGGAAGCCUGAAGCGUUUGGGAAGGCACCCACCUGUAUGAGUGGUGGGUUC
Molecule: non-coding RNA, 120 nt
Filed under: Pseudobacteriovorax antillogorgiicola
Lineage: Bacteria; Pseudomonadati; Bdellovibrionota; Oligoflexia; Oligoflexales; Pseudobacteriovoracaceae
Description: 6S / SsrS RNA
Rfam family: 6S / SsrS RNA
About the family: E. coli 6S RNA was the first non coding RNA to be sequenced, but its function was unknown until recently. It consists of 184 nucleotides that fold into an extended hairpin structure with a large single-stranded internal bulge.
Source: Rfam by way of RNAcentral